RNAcentral lists this transfer RNA (73 nucleotides) under Parasteatoda tepidariorum (common house spider). RNAcentral describes it as "transfer RNA valine (anticodon AAC)". The record is from RNAcentral. Lineage: Eukaryota; Metazoa; Arthropoda; Arachnida; Araneae; Theridiidae.
GUACCUAUGGUGUAGUGGUUAUCACAACCGCCUAACACGCGGAAGGUCCCAGAUUCGAAACCUGGUAGGUACA